GUUCUCUCCGAGAUCUCUCGAGCUCUCUCAAAUGUUCCAAUAACUUUUCCAUUUGCUUUCCUUAAUCGCAACCUGAAACCAACAAAUCCCAAAACCCUCAAGCCCUCCAACAAAAUCGAAAAAAACGCCAUCUUUGCCCAAAAUUUUGAAUUUUCUUAGGAGUUCUAGCCUAUUCCUGAGAUUUCUUUGGUGGGUUUUGGUUCUCUAGUCCCGUAUGGGCUUUGGUAGCAUAUGAAGAUCGAUGACAGUGAUCGGAGUUCGUCACAAGACAUUGUGGUUGAUCACAUCCUGAGUUUUCCGACUGAUUUAUUCAAUCCUAUCAGUCCUGAUUUUGUCCCUCCAUAGCAUUUGCAGCACCAUCUGCCUUGCUCUCAUCACAGCUUGGCUUUCAGUUCCUCAGGGGGAAUGGUGGAUGUGAGAGUUUCUUUUACAACAGUUCGAAGGGAAGAGCUUGAGAGAUAGUGGACUCUUCCCCUAUUCCUCCACAAUCACUUUUACCAAUUUCAAGGAACACAUUAAAUUCCCUCAAAAUAUAAGCCGAGAAUGGAUAGGGUGCCAUAAAGAAAGGUGGCGUUAUGAAUAAUGGCUUUUUGAGAGAAUUAGAGUUUGAUCUCUUCAUUUGGAUUGUGCAUAUUUGCAUGAACGUGGGUAAAGAGUAUGAGGAUAAAGGGAAGAGAAAAUGCUGUGAUUUGUUGAGGUAUUUUUUGUACCUUUUUUUCUGUUUAAAAUUAUAUGUUUUUCAUCUUUUAGGAGUAUGACAUCGAGGGUUUGCCACGAAUUUAUGAGAAUUUCAUUGCAUCCAAACAAUGGGUGUCGAAAUAACUUGGAAUCAGCUUUUCACAUAACAUGGAUGAUGAAUAUAAGAAACUCAUACACAAAAUUACUCCAACAAGAUUUAUGCUACCUGGCAAUCAACAACUAAUAUUACUUCCAAGAAGGCAAGACCAACAUUUGGCAUGUCACAGCGGUAUAUUUUUCACAAACAAAUGGUAAAAUUGUGCACAUCACAUUAGGCAAGU
Molecule: long non-coding RNA, 1019 nt
Organism: Pyrus x bretschneideri (Chinese white pear)
Lineage: Eukaryota; Viridiplantae; Streptophyta; Magnoliopsida; Rosales; Rosaceae
Exons: 7
Source: RefSeq, a predicted model, not a curated record